This 370-nucleotide ribosomal RNA is filed under the name uncultured Glomus. Its description in RNAcentral is "SSU rRNA". It matches the Rfam family "Eukaryotic small subunit ribosomal RNA", at positions 569 to 937 of the family's 1831-position model. Lineage: Eukaryota; Fungi; Glomeromycota; Glomeromycetes; Glomerales; Glomeraceae. The record is from RNAcentral.
AGCAGCCGCGGUAAUUCCAGCUCCAAUAGCGUAUAUUAAAGUUGUUGCAGUUAAAAAGCUCGUAGUUGAAUUUCGGGAUCAGUACGCUGGUCAUGCCUUUGGUAUGCACUGGUGUCACUGGUUUCUCCCUUCUGAAGAUCCGUGAUGUCAUUAAUUUGGUGUCGCAGGGAAUCAGGACUGUUUACUUUAGAAAAAAUUAGAGUUAGUUUAAAGCAGGCUCACGCUUAGAAUACAUUAGCAUGGAAUAAUGAAAUAGGACGUUUGACCCUUAUUUUGUUGGUUUCUAGGAUCGACGUAAUGAUUAAUAGGGAUAGUUGGGGGCAUUAGUAUUCAAUUGUCAGAGGUGAAAUUCUUGGAUUUAUUGAAGACU